GACGUAGGGCGCGAGCGUUGUCCGGAUUUAUUGGGCGUAAAGAGCUCGUAGGCGGCUUGUCGCGUCGUCCGUGAAAACCCACAGCUCAACUGUGGGCUUGCGGUCGAUACGGGCAGGCUAGAGUUCGGUAGGGGAGACUGGAAUUCCUGGUGUAGCGGUGGAAUGCGCAGAUAUCAGGAGGAACACCGGUGGCGAAGGCGGGUCUCUGGGCAGUAACUGACGCUGAGGAGCGAAAACGUGGGGAGCGAACAGG
This 253-nucleotide ribosomal RNA is filed under the name uncultured bacterium. RNAcentral describes it as "partial 16S ribosomal RNA". It matches the Rfam family "Bacterial small subunit ribosomal RNA", at positions 524 to 776 of the family's 1533-position model. The record is from RNAcentral.